UUUAUAUCCAUUUUCCCCUUCAAUUCCAGGAAAUUAUAUUGUAUUUUUUAUGUUAAAGUUCUUGUCUUUUGUUUUCGUUUUGGGGUUUGAGGCUAAGAUUGUUGAUGGGUUUUUGGUAAUUUGUCUUGAAUGGGAAAAAGCAAAAGUGAUUGGCGUGGUUUAAGAGCAUUUUGGUUGUAUUUAAUGUUUGAAUUUCUUUGCUUUUAUUGUUUUGAAGGAUACCAUUUCAAAUAGGUGUAGUGAUACUUUUCCUUAAAUUGGGGAAUAGAAAGUGAUUAGUGUGAUUUAAGAGUGUAUAUGAUGGCAUUUUCUUUGGCCGUUGAGAAAAUGAGGGGUAAAAAUACUGUGCAAAAGAUAUUCUCCUACAGAAUAUUGAUUAAUUUUGCUUUUUGUUUCUUCCAGAUAAUUUAAUUAACUGAUUGAUUACAUUAGGAUAGACCCUGUUAUUAGGAUUUAGUCAUUUACUGGUUAUGAAGAAAGAGUUAUGUUAAAAAAAAAUAUGAUUGUGAAUUAUGCUGUGAGAUUUGCUACGGAUUUGGAUGUGAAAGGUUUUCCCUUUUUUGUUGUUUCUUUAACCUCCUUCAGUUGCUGGUAAUUACAUCUCCAUCUUAAGAGUUGGAAUGAUUCAUAAAGUCUAGUCAUCAUUGUGGCUUACUGCCUAUCCUUUCACCAUGUUGUUGUCAAUUUUAUGCCAUUACCUUUAAUUGGUGCCUGUGUUGAUUGGUGGUACUCCGAUGAUAUAUCUCAACAAAGUUACAGAAGGAUGCGUGGCAAACAUUGCUGCAAAACUUGAAUCCAUGGAACCUUGUCGGAGCGUCAAAGACAGGAUUGGUCUUGGUAUGGUACUGGAGGCUGAAGAUAGUGGAGCAAUUUCUCCUGGGAAGACCAUAUUAGUGGAACCGACAAGUGGAAAUACAGGACUUGGGAUUGCUUUUGUUGCAGCAACUAAGGGUUCUAAGCUUAUCGUAACUAUGCCUGCUUCUAUAAAUCUUGAAAGGAGGAUCCUUUUACGUGCAUUUGGAGCAGAGAUUGUUUUGACAGACCCAGAAAAGGGCUUGAAAGGAGCUGUUGAUAAAGCUGAAGAAAUUGUGCUCAACAAUCCAAAUGCCUUCAUGCUUCAACAGUUUGAUAAUAUGGCUAAUACAAAGAUUCAUUUUGAAACUACAGGACCAGAAAUAUGGGAGGAUACUUUGGGUAAUGUUGACAUACUUGUUGCUGGAAUUGGAACUGGUGGUACCGUUACAGGCACUGGAUGUUACUUGAAAAUGAUGAACAAAGAAAUUAAGGUAGUUGGUGUGGAACCUGCGGAGAGGAGUAUAAUCUCUGGAGAAAACCCUGGUUAUGUGCCAAGCAUCCUGGACGUUAAAUUGCUUGAUGAAGUUAUCGAGGUGUUUGGACUUGCAUUCAAAAUGAUGAUCUUGCAGGAUAAUAUUGCAUUUGAGUCCCUGCAUUCCACUAACAACUUGAUCCAUUGGGUCACCAAUGAUGAAGCUGUUGAUAUGGCAAGGAGAUUAGCACUUGAGGAAGGUCUGCUGGUUGGUAUUUCAUCUAGAGCUGCCGCAGCUGCUUCGAUUAGCUUAGUGAAAAGGCCUGAGAAUGCUGGAAAACUUAUUGUGCUUCAAGGCAGACAAUACAGCAUGCAAAUUUACAUACAGAAACCUCAAACAAACAACAGACGUAUAUAUUUCUGGUGUACACUAGCAUCGAGGUUAUAUUUCCUAGCUUUGGUCAGAGGUAUAUUCCAACUGUUCUUUUUCAUUCUAUCCAUGAAGAGGUUCAACAAAUGCAAGCAAGAUAGUGUCGAUUUGUUCUGGAAGAUUCAGAUUACCAUGGAAUUCAAUUCUCAUUCAUUCAAAUGGAAACUGGCCUCUGUACUAAUUGACAGGUGCAAUUUUCAUGAAGGCACCAGAGUCCAUACAAGAUUUCUCAUGAUAACUAACUUUCCAGUCAUCCUUUGACCAUGUUUUCCUACUGGUAUUUGAAAUUGUUUGGCAUACACAGUGCAUACCAUGUUGCUACCUACUGAUUGUACUAUUGUAGGACGAUCUCAGGGCUAAAGAGUAAAUUUGAAGAUGGGCAAAUUGUGAAGUAUGUGAUUGCAGCCAUUUCUCUGGUUGCUAAAUUUGGUACUUCUAGAGGCAUGUGAAACAAAUCCAGUUCAGUGAAGCUCCUCAUCUCUCAAGUUAUUGCUACGGGAAGUCGAAGUCAUUGUUUCAUAUCUCAUUCUCCCAGGUUGUCAUUUUCAACCCAACCGGCAAAGUUAUUCAGUUAACUUGUAAUAGAUAGCUGGAAAUCCACUUUUAGAAAAACAAUCGAUUUCCAACAUUUGUUUGAAUGCAGAGCAAGAAGAAUCAUCCGAGUUUCUUGUUUUGGUAUUUGAGGUUGUCAACAUUUGGACACUGAUAACUAGAACAAAGAGUUAAUCAUUUUACCAACAAAUCAUGUGAUUGUUGGUGAAUCAUCCUAGUUUCAAAUGCUAUUUUUGGUGAAAUUAUCUGUUUUGGGAAGUGAUCUGUUGGAUACAAGGCUAGAUAGUGCUAAUCGAGGAUUUAUGUCAUGAAAGAACUUCAUGCAUAAAGCUGGUUGAUAUCAGGGAUUCACGGAUCCCAUUAUUGGGAAUUUCUUUUAGAAAUACAAUCUCUUUUUUUGUUUUUUUUUUUUGGUUAAGCAAUAACUCGUACAAUACUUAAUCGUGCAAGAUAUAAUUAAUUUUCUUGUAAAUAAACAGUCCUCGAGUUUAAUGUAUCAAUGAUCAGUGGAAGAUUGAAUAGAUUUAGAUGAGAAUUUUUUAUGAACUUUCCAUUGAUGCAGUCCAAUUAAGCAAUGAUAUCCUAUCUUCAUUGAUGACAGAAAGCAAUCUCCAAAGAUUUUUCUAGAUGGUUUGGAUGUUCAUUCAAUCUAUAUGAUUGAUCCGUAUAAGCCCUUUAAACAUCAAGGAGCACUACUUUAAAUGAUUUCCAAA
Molecule: non-coding RNA, 2962 nt
Organism: Durio zibethinus
Lineage: Eukaryota; Viridiplantae; Streptophyta; Magnoliopsida; Malvales; Malvaceae
Source: RefSeq, a predicted model, not a curated record